RNAcentral lists this long non-coding RNA (1071 nucleotides) under Danio rerio (zebrafish). RNAcentral's name for it is "si:ch211-190h11.1 (ENSDARG00000092254.4)". The record is from RNAcentral. Lineage: Eukaryota; Metazoa; Chordata; Actinopteri; Cypriniformes; Danionidae.
UUUUUUUACUUAAAAAAUAUUACAUUUCAAGUACUAAGUUUAAAAAUGUUUUUGGCUGAUCUUUUUCAUUUUAAAUUAUUCAUUGAAGUUGGGGUCAUUGUAUGUGGCGAUCUAUUUUUUACAGUCUAUGCUCGCUAUCCCAAGGUUCAUUGCGAUCCCAAGGUUCACUGCGGUUUUCCACAAGCCUGUUUCUGCCUAUCACCAUGAGUGAUUCCUUGAUACUCAUAUUUAUCAUCAAGAUCUCAAUUAUAAGCUCAAGUCUUGAUGACAACUUGAUGAUCUGCAGGAAGCACCACCAUGUAUAGAGGGCAAAGACCACUCUGGAAUCAGUCAAGGGAUUGCAGUGACCAGACAUGCUACUGUAACUCUCAUGGUCAUGUGCUGGAAUUAGCAGAUAUUCAACAAUUUGGCCAUCUUGCUGACCUAUUGAUAUCAGAAGACCACAACAGCUCUGCAAAGCAAGUUGGAAAACAGAAUCCAUGAAACUGGCAGUGACCGGAAACCAGUUAGAAGACUUUGGUCUGUGACGUAGAGGAGUGGGCAGACGCAGAAGCAAAGACGACAAACAACAGAAGUGAUAUGGAUGUCUUCGUCAUAUGGCAUGACUCUGCUGACCCAGCAACAAAGAGGAGGGUGUUCAACAUCAUCCUGCUAGUCAGGAUUCUUCAGAAGCAGUGGAUUCUUGUGGCAGAGAUGGCCAACCACUAUAAAUACAUUUCAACUCAUCCUGGUUCCUUCAAAGAACUUUCCUGCUUGUUUGCUACUGAAAAGUAUAUUCGACAUGUGGCCUAAACGAAGAGGGGUUAAAAGGUCUAUGGAUCAUCAUUCUCAGAAAGCAACAAAAUAACUGAGAAAUAAACAACAAUACGAUGGUGCAAUCUAGAGACCUACAAGGUACCUGCAAGUUUUGGCUGGAGCAGAGAACAUACAUAUUUUAAAUAAAGCUCCAGCUGAUGAGUUUGACAUUGACUGUGGAUUUUCUUUUACUGUAAUCCAGAAGAGGAUGACCUUAACCCUGAAUCUAAAGCAUGUAAUAAAAUCUGUAAAAAUAAAAUAAAAUUUUCAUCAUCU